This 72-nucleotide transfer RNA is filed under the name Cavia porcellus (domestic guinea pig). It matches the Rfam family "tRNA". Rfam says of the family: Transfer RNA (tRNA) molecules are approximately 80 nucleotides in length. Their secondary structure includes four short double-helical elements and three loops (D, anti-codon, and T loops). Further hydrogen bonds mediate the characteristic L-shaped molecular structure. tRNAs have two regions of fundamental functional importance: the anti-codon, which is responsible for specific mRNA codon recognition, and the 3' end, to which the tRNAs corresponding amino acid is attached (by aminoacyl-tRNA synthetases). tRNAs cope with the degeneracy of the genetic code in two manners: having more than one tRNA (with a specific anti-codon) for a particular amino acid; and 'wobble' base-pairing, i.e. permitting non-standard base-pairing at the 3rd anti-codon position. The record is from Rfam by way of RNAcentral. Lineage: Eukaryota; Metazoa; Chordata; Mammalia; Rodentia; Caviidae.
GGGGAUAUAGCUCAGCAGCACAGCUUCUGCCUGGCAAGCACAAGGGCCUGAGUUCAAUUCCCAAUUACCCCC